AUACGGAGGAUGCAAGCGUUAUCCGGAUUUAUUGGGUUUAAAGGGUGCGUAGGCUGUGCGUUAAGUCAGGGGUGAAAUGCCGUCGCUCAACGACGGAGCUGCCCUUGAUACUGGCGUGCUGGAGUACGGAUGCCGUUGGAGGAAUGAGUGGUGUAGCGGUGAAAUGCUUAGAUAUCACUCAGAACACCGAUUGCGAAGGCAUCUGACGAAUCCGUCACUGACGCUGAGGCACGAAAGCGUGGGGAUAGAACAGGAUUAGAUACCCUGGUAUUCCACGCCGUAAACGAUGAUGACUAACCGUCGGCGAUAGACAGCCGGUGGCCAAGCGAAAGCGAUAAGUCAUCCACCUGGGGAGUACGUCGGCAACGAUGAAACUCAAAGGAAUUGACGGGG
This 393-nucleotide ribosomal RNA is filed under the name uncultured bacterium. RNAcentral describes it as "partial 16S ribosomal RNA". It matches the Rfam family "Bacterial small subunit ribosomal RNA", at positions 523 to 918 of the family's 1533-position model. The record is from RNAcentral.